RNAcentral lists this unclassified non-coding RNA (301 nucleotides) under Glomeraceae sp. RNAcentral's name for it is "partial contains 5.8S ribosomal RNA, internal transcribed spacer 2, and large subunit ribosomal RNA". The stretch from base 1 to 71 matches the Rfam family "5.8S ribosomal RNA", at positions 84 to 154 of the family's 154-position model. Lineage: Eukaryota; Fungi; Glomeromycota; Glomeromycetes; Glomerales; Glomeraceae. The record is from RNAcentral.
GUGAAUCAUCGAAUUUUUGAACGCAUAUUGCACUCUCUGGUAUUCCGGAGAGUAUGCCUGUUUGAGGGUCAGUUAAUUAAAACUCGGGGUUGUUACCACCUUUUAGUGGUGGCGCUCCGGACUUGAGUCGUCUUACCUUCGGGUUAAGUGACUUAAAAUUUUUGUAUGAUAUCUAACGUAUUUAAAUUUAUUUGGUACGUUCGUAAUAUCACAUAUUAGGUGCGGUCAUUCACAUGAUUUCGCGUCUAUAAUUUUUCAUUAUUUGACCUCAAAUCAGGUAAGAAUACCCGCUGAACUUAAG